UCCUACGGGAGGCAGCAGCUAAGAAUCUUCCGCAAUGGGCGCAAGCCUGACGGAGCGACGCCGCGUGGGUGAAGAAUGCCGAGAGGUUGUAAAACCCUUUUCUCAUAGAAGAAUAACCAUUUGAGUUAAUGCUGAUGGGAUGACGUUAUAUGAGGAAUAAGCACCGGCCAAUUACGUGCCAGCAGCCGCGGUAACACGUAAGGUGCGAGCGUUGUUCGGAAUUAUUGGGCGUAAAGGGCUCGUAGGCGGCCUAUCAAGUCCCACGUGAAAGACCAGGGCUCAACCCUGGGAACGCGAGGGAAACUGGUAAGCUUGAAUCUUGGAGGGGGUACUGGAAUUCCUAGUGUAGGGGUGAAAUCUGUUGAUAUUAGGAAGAACACCGGAGGCGAAGGCGAGUACCUGGCCAAAAAUUGACGCUGAUGAGCGAAAACGUAGGGAA
RNAcentral lists this ribosomal RNA (439 nucleotides) under uncultured bacterium. RNAcentral describes it as "bacterial SSU rRNA". It matches the Rfam family "Bacterial small subunit ribosomal RNA", at positions 337 to 768 of the family's 1533-position model. The record is from RNAcentral.